GUAGGAGCCGGCUUGCUGGCGAUGGCGGUGGGUCAGUCAGCCGAUUUGUUGACUGGACCACCGCCAUCGCCAGCAAGCCGGCUCCUAC
Molecule: unclassified non-coding RNA, 88 nt
Filed under: Pseudomonas migulae
Lineage: Bacteria; Pseudomonadati; Pseudomonadota; Gammaproteobacteria; Pseudomonadales; Pseudomonadaceae
Source: RNAcentral